RNAcentral lists this ribosomal RNA (447 nucleotides) under uncultured bacterium. RNAcentral describes it as "partial 16S ribosomal RNA". It matches the Rfam family "Bacterial small subunit ribosomal RNA", at positions 330 to 792 of the family's 1533-position model. The record is from RNAcentral.
UCCAGACUCCUACGGGAGGCAGCAGUGGGGGAUAUUGCACAAUGGGGGAAACCCUGAUGCAGCGACGCCGCGUGGGCGAAGAAGUAUUUCGGUAUGUAAAGCCCUAUCAGCAGGGAAGAAGAAAUGACGGUACCUGAGUAAGAAGCACCGGCUAAAUACGUGCCAGCAGCCGCGGUAAUACGUAGGGGGCAAGCGUUAUCCGGAUUUACUGGGUGUAAAGGGAGCGUAGACGGCGGUGCAAGCCAGAUGUGAAAGCCCGGGGCUCAACCCCGGGACUGCAUUUGGAACUGUGCUGCUAGAGUGUCGGAGAGGCAGGCGGAAUUCCUAGUGUAGCGGUGAAAUGCGUAGAUAUUAGGAGGAACACCAGUGGCGAAGGCGGCCUGCUGGACGAUGACUGACGUUGAGGCUCGAAAGCGUGGGGAGCAAACAGGAUUAGAUACCCCGGUA